UUAUGGCCAUAUCACAUUGAAACAUUGGUUCACCCUAUAUUCACCAAAAUUAAGGAACAUUGAGCCUGGUCAGUACUUAGAUGGGUGACCACUUGGGAAUACCAGGUGCUGUAA
This is a non-coding RNA of Acanthosepion pharaonis, 114 nucleotides long. Lineage: Eukaryota; Metazoa; Mollusca; Cephalopoda; Sepiida; Sepiidae. The record is from the annotation of a GenBank genome assembly.